UGUGUGUGUAUGAGCUUUCUCUGCAGGAAGGAUGAGCUGCUCCAGAGGAUCAUCAGAGGGUAGCUGCAUCUGGCUGAGUGGGACUCCAGCUUGGAUGAGGCCAUGGCCAGUGUGGAGCACAGGUAGCCCCCCCUGCUGCAUGUUGAAUGGAUGGAGGAGCUGCUGAUCCAGAGAACCAUGAGGAUGCAUGUUGGCCAACACUGCUCAGUGUUUCUACACUGAAGGAUUCAUUUGUGUACACUCCCCAGCAGCUGUGUGUGUACUUCAUCGGAGUGGAAGACCUGUGGGGGAAAAAACCUCAAGAACUCAUCAAUCACAGUGGUCACAUGACUGUAGGCCUGCUGAAGCAGCGAUGUAACACCUGUCAACGCUUCUGCUUCAAAAGAUGGAUACUGCUUCGAGCAUAACAUCACUAUUUAUGCAGGAU
This is a long non-coding RNA of Toxotes jaculatrix (banded archerfish), 427 nucleotides long. RefSeq lists it as uncharacterized. The transcript is spliced from 3 exons. The record is from RefSeq and is a predicted model, not a curated record. NCBI's taxonomy places the organism in Eukaryota, Metazoa, Chordata, Actinopteri, Toxotidae.